UUUUAUGGAGAGUUUGAUCCUGGCUCAGGAUGAACGCUGGCGGCGUGCCUAAUACAUGCAAGUCGAGCGAACGGACGAGAAGCUUGCUUCUCUGAUGUUAGCGGCGGACGGGUGAGUAACACGUGGAUAACCUACCUAUAAGACUGGGAUAACUUCGGGAAACCGGAGCUAAUACCGGAUGAUAUUUUGAACCGCAUGGUUCAAAAGUGAAAGACGGUCUUGCUGUCACUUAUAGAUGGAUCCGCGCUGCAUUAGCUAGUUGGUAAGGUAACGGCUUACCAAGGCAACGAUGCAUAGCCGACCUGAGAGGGUGAUCGGCCACACUGGAACUGAGACACGGUCCAGACUCCUACGGGAGGCAGCAGUAGGGAAUCUUCCGCAAUGGGCGAAAGCCUGACGGAGCAACGCCGCGUGAGUGAUGAAGGUCUUCGGAUCGUAAAACUCUGUUAUUAGGGAAGAACAUAUGUGUAAGUAACUGUGCACAUCUUGACGGUACCUAAUCAGAAAGCCACGGCUAACUACGUGCCAGCAGCCGCGGUAAUACGUAGGUGGCAAGCGUUAUCCGGAAUUAUUGGGCGUAAAGCGACGCGUAGGCGG
This 597-nucleotide ribosomal RNA is filed under the name Staphylococcus aureus subsp. aureus CO-23. Its description in RNAcentral is "bacterial SSU rRNA". It matches the Rfam family "Bacterial small subunit ribosomal RNA", at positions 1 to 578 of the family's 1533-position model. Lineage: Bacteria; Bacillati; Bacillota; Bacilli; Caryophanales; Staphylococcaceae. The record is from RNAcentral.